Molecule: non-coding RNA, 620 nt
Organism: Oncorhynchus mykiss (rainbow trout)
Lineage: Eukaryota; Metazoa; Chordata; Actinopteri; Salmoniformes; Salmonidae
Source: RefSeq, a predicted model, not a curated record
AUUCAGGACUAUAUUUAGUCAGGUUAUCUGGUAUUCAGGACUAUAUUUAGUCAGGUUAUCACUGGAACAGCCAUGUUUAAACCAACAGGACUAUAUUUAGUCAGGUUAUCUGGUAUUCAGGGCUAUAUUUAGUCAGGUUAUCUGGUAUUCAGGACUAUAUUUAGUCAGGUUAUCACUGGAACAGCCAUGUUUAAACCAACAGGACUAUAUUUAGUCAGGUUAUCUGGUAUUCAGGGCUAUAUUUAGUCAGGUUAUCACUGGAACAGCCAUGUUUAAACCAACAGGGCUAUAUUUAGUCAGGUCAUCUGGUAUUCAGGGCUAUAUUUAGUCAGGUCAUCUGGUAUUCAGGGCUAUAUUUAGUCAGGUUAUCACUGGAACAGCCAUGUUUAAACCAACAGGACUAUAUUUAGUCAGGUUAUCACUGGAACAGCCAUGUUUAAACCAACAGGACUAUAUUCAGUCAGGUUAUCUGGUAUUCAGGGCUAUAUUUAGUCAGGUUAUCACUGGAACAGCCAUGUUUAAACCAACAGGACUAUAUUUAGUCAGGUUAUCACUGGAACAGCCAUGUUUAAACCAACAGGACUAUAUUCAGUCAGGUUAUCUGGUAUUCAGGACUAUAU